Molecule: ribosomal RNA, 254 nt
Filed under: uncultured bacterium
Lineage: Bacteria
Description: partial 16S ribosomal RNA
Rfam family: Bacterial small subunit ribosomal RNA
Source: RNAcentral
UACGGGGGGAGCAAGCGUUGUUCGGAUUUACUGGGCGUAAAGGGCGCGUAGGCGGUCGUGACAAGUCACUUGUGAAAUCUCCGGGCUUAACUCGGAACGGUCAAGUGAUACUGUCGGACUAGAGUACAGAAGGGGCAACUGGAAUUCUCGGUGUAGCGGUGAAAUGCGUAGAUAUCGAGAGGAACACCUGCGGCGAAGGCGGCGUCCUGGACCAACACUGACACUGAGGAGCGAAAGCCAGGGGAGCAAACGGG